This 253-nucleotide ribosomal RNA is filed under the name uncultured bacterium. RNAcentral describes it as "partial 16S ribosomal RNA". It matches the Rfam family "Bacterial small subunit ribosomal RNA", at positions 524 to 776 of the family's 1533-position model. The record is from RNAcentral.
UACGUAGGAUGCAAGCGUUGUCCGGAAUUAUUGGGCGUAAAGAGCGCGCAGGCGGUCUAUCAAGUCAGAUGUGAAAUAUCCAGGCUUAACCUGGAGGGGUCAUUUGAAACUGGUAGACUAGAGUACAGCAGAGGAUAGUGGAAUUCCCGGUGUAGUGGUGAAAUGCGUAGAUAUCGGGAGGAACACCAGUGGCGAAGGCGGCGACCUGGAUAGGCACUGACACUCAACUGCGAAAGCGUGGGGAGCAAACAGG